UACGGAGGGUGCAAGCGUUGUUCGGAUUUACUGGGCGUAAAGCGCGCGCAGGUGGACGUGCAAGUCGGAAGUGAAAAUCUUUGAGGCUCAACCUCGAGGCUGCUCCCCGAAAACUGUUCGUCUAGGGACUGGUAGAGGCUGGUAGAAUUCCCGGUGUAGCGGUGGAAUGCGUAGAGAUCGGGAAGAAUACCCGUGGCGAAGGCGGCCAGCUGGGCCAGGUCCGACACUGAGGCGCGAAAGCGUGGGGGAGCAAACAGG
This 258-nucleotide ribosomal RNA is filed under the name uncultured bacterium. Its description in RNAcentral is "partial 16S ribosomal RNA". It matches the Rfam family "Bacterial small subunit ribosomal RNA", at positions 524 to 776 of the family's 1533-position model. The record is from RNAcentral.